RNAcentral lists this ribosomal RNA (492 nucleotides) under uncultured bacterium. Its description in RNAcentral is "partial 16S ribosomal RNA". It matches the Rfam family "Bacterial small subunit ribosomal RNA", at positions 29 to 507 of the family's 1533-position model. The record is from RNAcentral.
AGUGAACGCUGGCGGUAGGCCUAACACAUGCAAGUCGAACGGCAGCACAGUAAUAGCUUGCUCUUACGGGUGGCGAGUGGCGGACGGGUGAGGAAUACAUCGGAAUCUACUUUUUCGUGGGGUCUAACGUAGGGAAACUUACGCUAAUACCGCAUACUACCUACGGGUGAAAGCAGGGGAUCUUCGGACCUUGCGCGAUUGAAUGAGCCGAUGUCGGAUUAGCUAGUUGGCGGGGUAAAGGCCCACCAAGGCGACGAUCCGUAGCUGGUCUGUGAGGAUGAAGAGGGACACUGGAACUGAGAGGCGGUCCAGACUCCGAGGGGAGGCAAAAGUGGGGAAUAUUGGAAAAAGGGGGCAGGCCUGAACAAGCCAUACCGCGUGGGUGAAGAAGGGCUGUGGGUUGGAAAGCCCUUUUGUUGGGAAAGAAAAGCAGCAGGUAAAUAGACCGCUGGUGUGACGGUACCCAAAGAAUAAGCACCGGCUAACUUCGUG